CCUACGGGAGGCAGCAGUGGGGAAUAUUGGACAAUGGGCGGAAGCCUGAUCCAGCAACGCCGCGUGAGGGAUGACGGCCUUCGGGUUGUAAACCUCUUUCACCAUCGACGAAGCCUUCGGGUGACGGUAGGUGGAGAAGAAGCACCGGCCAACUACGUGCCAGCAGCCGCGGUAAUACGUAGGGUGCGAGCGUUGUCCGGAAUUAUUGGGCGUAAAGGGCUCGUAGGCGGUUUGUCGCGUCGGGAGUGAAAACAUCACAGCUUAACUGGAUGCUUGCUUUCGAUACGGGCAGACUAGAGGCAUGCAGGGGAGAAUGGAAUUCCUGGUGUAGCGGUGAAAUGCGCAGAUAUCAGGAGGAACACCGGUGGCGAAGGCGGUUCUCUGGGCAUGUCCUGACGCUGAGGAGCGAAAGUGUGGGGAGCGAACAGGAUUAGAUACCC
Molecule: ribosomal RNA, 440 nt
Filed under: uncultured bacterium
Lineage: Bacteria
Description: bacterial SSU rRNA
Rfam family: Bacterial small subunit ribosomal RNA
Source: RNAcentral